GCGGCGUGCCUAAUACAUGCAAGUCGAACGGGAAGCCUCUGACUUGUCUGAGGUGGAGAGUGGCGAACGGGUGAGUAACACGUAUGUGACCUGCCUCGAAGAUGGGGAUAACUGUUGGAAACGUGCAGCUAAUACCCAAUGCACUCGAUAAUUCGGUUUAUCGAGUAAAGCGCCCCUCACGGGGAUAGCGCUUCGAGAUGGGCCUGCGGCCUAUCAGCUAGUUGGUAGGGUAAUGGCCUACCAAGGCGAGGACGGGUAGGGGGCGUGAGAGCGUGACCCCCCACACUGGCACUGAGACACGGGCCAGACUCCUACGGGAGGCAGCAGUCGGGGAUAUUGCGCAAUGGACGAAAGUCUGACGCAGCGACGCCGUGUGAGUGAUGAAGGCCUUCGGGUUGUAAAACUCUUUUAUGGGGGAAGAGGAAGGACGGUACCCCAUGAAUAAGCGUCGGCUAACUACGUGCCAGCAGCCGCGGUACAACCGUAGGACGCAAGCGUUAUCCGGAUUUACUGGGCGUACAG
RNAcentral lists this ribosomal RNA (522 nucleotides) under uncultured organism. RNAcentral's name for it is "bacterial SSU rRNA". It matches the Rfam family "Bacterial small subunit ribosomal RNA", at positions 39 to 565 of the family's 1533-position model. The record is from RNAcentral.